Long non-coding RNA from Carassius auratus (goldfish), 1126 nucleotides. RefSeq lists it as uncharacterized. The transcript has 3 exons. Lineage: Eukaryota; Metazoa; Chordata; Actinopteri; Cypriniformes; Cyprinidae. The record is from RefSeq and is a predicted model, not a curated record.
UGCUAACUAGUCGUCAACCUUAAAUUAGUUUGAUUUGUGACUAUUUUUGGCGAGGUCAAACUGGCUGCUUUCCUCAAUCUGUUAUGAAGACUGCAGUUCCAUAAGCUGUUAUGAACAGCUUUCAUGUGAGUGGAUUUCUCAAUCUCAUCCCAUCUGGACUGCAAGGAGCCCCAAUUUAUAAGGGUAUCCGAGUUCCUGGCAGUGCCAGCUGGAAGAACCACAGGCCGAUGCCAACAUCCCCCCCUUUACCUGGCAUUGUGCCCUCUGCGUGCCCGUGCCGUGCACUGAGUUGCUGAGACAACCAAAGCAGUGAAGUGGAGCAGUCCCAGCUGCAGCCCAGAGCACAGACCAAAAGUGCCCAUAUAAGAGACACCCAAGUCUCCUUGUAUGCCACCCUCAGAAGGUCAGCUGGCAACUCUGAUAUGAUCAGCAGCAUCGUGACUUGAGUGUGCGGGGAGCAGGACUUGACUCAGACCUGACUCACCGCUCCUGUGGGUUCAUUUCUCCACUGAUCUCGCAGCUUUUGCCCUCAGCUGCGCCGGGGACAGACUUGCACAAGUUCAGGCACAGAACAAGCUGAGCGCCUGAUGAAAGUAAAUAACUCGGAUCAGCGUGGGGACAUUAUGCCGUGUUGUUUGGCCCCUGUGAUAGUCAGAUAUUCAGAGAAAAUGCAGAGCUUGACGAUGACAGCUGUGAAUUUCUCCCAAUGGUGCAAACAGAGUGACUGAGUACAUGCUGUGUGCUUCUAUUCUGGUAAUGGCGAUAAUGAUGAAGAUGAUUAAGAUAAUGACAUGGGCUGCAAUCAUCGUUAUAUUUGGGUGAGGUCAGCCGUGUGGGCUUAGAGCUAUGAUGAAGUAAUAUGAUAUUGUUUUCACAUUCAGGUAGUGUAGAUCAUAUGGGGGAUGAUGCCCGUGACUACAAUAGAUAUGACUUUAGCAUUACAUCAUUAAAUGAUGCGUUCAUGUGACAAGAAUAUUUCUCAGAUGAGACAUAAUCCUGAUUCAGUGUGAUGAUGAUAAUAAGUGGAGAGUGAGGCUGAGAUCACUUGUAGAUCAAUGUGAACUGAUGCUGAAGAACGCACGUAACACCAGGCAUUCAUUAUUAAACCCACAUGCAUAGUUAUGAA